Oncorhynchus tshawytscha (Chinook salmon) is the source of this 2076-nucleotide RNA transcript. It is a transcript of the gene named ubiquinone biosynthesis protein COQ4 homolog, mitochondrial, with no coding region annotated. Lineage: Eukaryota; Metazoa; Chordata; Actinopteri; Salmoniformes; Salmonidae. The transcript has 2 exons. The record is from RefSeq and is a predicted model, not a curated record.
CCCAUAUUGUGACUGGCUUGUAGGCGUGUUGGUAACUUGUAUGAAGGUCUGGUUAUGAAAUGGGUACAUAGUUAAAUAGUAAUUAUCCUCUAAAACGCUCUGGGGACAAACAAACUUUACUGCCCUAUUUCCAAUUGUCCACAUGGCUGGGAGAACCUGUUCAAGUUUUUUGUCCUCAAAUAAAGAGCUGUGAAACCUGUCUACAUAUGAAGAGGUCCCAAUGAAGAGCAGUGGUUCCUGGGGACUCAAAGGGGUGCACAUAUUUGUUUUUGCCUUAGCACUGCACAGCUGAUUCAAAUGAUCAACUCAUCAUCAAGCUUCAAGUGGUACUUAUGUAUUCAUUUGUGAUGCUAUCCUUAAUAUGAUCCUGUUAUUGUCACAUGCUACAUAUGUGUGCCCAUGGAUCUAUCUAUCCAAUGUUAUCAUGAUUUGUUAUCAGGAAUGUUAUACUUUAGUAAUUCACAAUGAUCUGGUGAUGUAAAAGUCUAAUAAUUAGAUUGUCUUCCAUAUUCCUACAGAUGCUUUGUAACUGGAGAUUCCUUCAAAACGAUUGCCUACAGUUAACGUGUAGGGCACUGCAAGGAUGGGUGACCAGGGCCAUCUAGGACUGCCUGCUGGAGGAAUUCAGUUGGGUGAAGGCUACCUGUGUCCUGUAUAACUUUGGGGUGGCAGGUAGCCUAGUGGUUAGAGCAUUGGACCAGUAACCAAAAGGUUGCUAGAUCAAAUCCCUCGUGCUGCCCCUGAACAAGGCAGUUACCCACUGUUCCUAGGCCAUCAUUAUAAAUAAUAAUUUAUUCUUAACUGGCUUGCCUAGUUAAAUAAAGGUUCACUAACAAAAUAACUUAAUGAGGAUGGACACGAGGCUCUGCAGGAUGUUUCAAGGAUGGGGUCCGGCAACGCAGCAAGACUGAGAUCUUCACCUCCUACUUCUUCGAAGAGGGUGCUGUUCCCUGGCAACUCCAUAGACUAUGCACAACCAAAUGCUCUUUUAAGAGUCAUUCACAUUGCAAUAACAGUGUUCUUCCAUUUACUUACUGCAGUUAUUCAAUUCCCAGUUUCUCUCCCUUUGAUUUCUACUUCUCAGGUGAGGGUGCUGUUUAGGUAAGGGUGUGAUGUCUGUACAAAAAUAAAACAGCCAUUUCAAAUCACUCAUAUUGAAAAUAUGUAGAACAAUUAGACACUCUAUAACCCACACCUACACACAUGUAUCAAUCUGAUUGAUUGAUUGUGUUGCUCAGGUGUAUAACUGGCUCCUUCCACCUUGAAAGAAUAGGCAAGAUGGCCAACCAUGGAGAAUAGCAAGACACUUCAUUAUUUCUAUAACUACGCUAUAUUGUUUGUCCUCGUGUGUCCGUUCAUGUUUUUCAGCAUAAAGUACUCUGCAGCCGCUUAGUGUGGUGUGGACACCAGGUGAGGCCACACACACAGAUUACUGUUCAACACUGUGUUUAACUACCUUAUUUUCACAAUCAGUCUCUCUCCACUUCAUCCCUUUCUCCUCUUCUCCACAAAUCCUCUAGGUUAUAUCAGCUGUGUCAGUGAACCCCUCCUGCAUCUGAACUGGCUACAUAGAAUUGUAAUUAGUGUUUAAUGUUUUACGGACUCCUGAGAGAACCAGCAAACCAGGCUGUAGUCUUGUGAAACAGUGGAUGUAAAGAAUCUAGCUAGCUUAAGCAUUUACUGCUAAUUUUAAUGUAUAAUUUUGGAAGCUUGCCUUGCUGAUAUUUGCCAUGCAAUGCAGCUGGAGUAACGUAGCUUACUAUUUUCUUGCUUAUUGUGUAGUGGAGGAUAAAAAAAUACCUGUAUAGCUAGCUAUGUAGCUGAUCUGUGGAGGGAACCUUAAAUAUUAGGCCAGAACCUAGCUAUCAUAGCCGGUUGUAUCGACUUAAAACAUUAAUGGCAUUAAUAAAGCCUUUGGAUAGAGUAUAAAAUAACUUUAUUGUGCCAAGGAUGCAAGUUGUAAAUACAUGUAGUUAUUACCAAGCAUUAGAUCCCCACAUUGUAGCCUGUAAUUUUAAUAUAUUCACUGAUCAUGUACUCUACCUUGGCAAAUAAAGAGCGAGAUCGCAUUAUUAA